This 215-nucleotide long non-coding RNA is filed under the name Ananas comosus (pineapple). RNAcentral describes it as "long non-coding RNA (ACOM_LNC034120)". The record is from RNAcentral. Lineage: Eukaryota; Viridiplantae; Streptophyta; Magnoliopsida; Poales; Bromeliaceae.
AAGGAGGAAUUCUACACUGUCACACUUGCACCACGUCAUCAAUAAUAAGCCAAUCACAUUCAUUUUUUUCAAAUAAAAGUAUAAUAAAAAUAUUUUUUUACAAUCAUGACAUAUAUUCUUAAAAGAAUUAAUUUGAUUGAUUUGUUACGCCACGUCACUAAUAUACCCGUUGCAUUCUAAAAUUUUUCCUGCCGAAGGGGCUUUCUACGAUAGAA